This 557-nucleotide long non-coding RNA is filed under the name Brassica napus (rape). Its description in RNAcentral is "long non-coding RNA (BNAP_LNC004324)". Lineage: Eukaryota; Viridiplantae; Streptophyta; Magnoliopsida; Brassicales; Brassicaceae. The record is from RNAcentral.
GUGCCAGCAAGAACCUCAUCGGGUAACCCCCAAAAACAGGCCACAACUCAAACCUCUUCUUCGUUACCAACUAUCUAGUAAGCAACCCAUGGACUAACUUCGCCGAAACAGCACACCUCCUCACUGGCAGUCUAAAUAAGUUUCAAAAGCAAGACCCCAACAGCUUGUGUCCAUCUCCUCUGUUCCUUCAAGAACAUCCCUCACCAAAAGACUGUACUCCAUCGAUGCGUUACAGUUGUGCCGUUUGAUCAGAUAUCGGUCUGUCGCAAACAACCGACUAGGUAGCCUCUCAUUCACUGUCAAGGCCUCUGGCUGCUCAAACUCUAAUGGACAGCAAAACCAGCUUUUUGUUAACAAAUUUUUUUAAAUGACAAAAAAUUUUCCAAAAAUCUCGAUAUCAAACCCUAAAUCGAAUUUCUUAAUCCCAAUAACAGAACCCUAAACCCCGAUAUUGGCAACCUUGAACAUCUCCGAUUCGAAAUCCAACUAUGCAACCAAACAUUGCUCCAAAACCCCGACAUCAAACCCUAAAUCGAAUUACUCCGAGUUGUUAUCCC